UGGGGAAUCUUGCACAAUGGGGGCAACCCUGAUGCAGCGACGCCGCGUGAGCGAUGAAGCCCUUCGGGGCGUAAAGCUCCUUCGACCGGAACGAUAAUGACGGUACCGGGAGAAGAAGCUGCGGCUAACUACGUGCCAGCAGCCGCGGUAAUACGUAGGCAGCAAGCGUUGUUCGGAGUUACUGGGCGUAAAGAGUGCGUAGGCGGUUUUCUAAGUUCGGUGUGAAAUCUCCCGGCUUAACUGGGAGGGUGCGCCGAAGACUGGGAAGCUGGAGUGUGGGAAAGGCAGGCGGAAUUCCUGGUGUAGCGGUGAAAUGCGUAGAUAUCAGGAGGAACACCGGCGGUGUAGACGGCUUGCUAGACCAUAACUGACGCUGAGGCACGAAAGCGUGGGUAGCAAACA
This 402-nucleotide ribosomal RNA is filed under the name uncultured bacterium. Its description in RNAcentral is "bacterial SSU rRNA". It matches the Rfam family "Bacterial small subunit ribosomal RNA", at positions 355 to 774 of the family's 1533-position model. The record is from RNAcentral.